CCUACGGGUGGCUGCAGUGAGGAAUAUUGGUCAAUGGGGGAAACCCUGAUCCAGCAACGCAGCGUGAAGGAAGAUUGCUUUAUGAUUGGAAACCUCUGUUCAUAUUGAAGAAUAAUGGCGUUUGCAAAGCCGCAUGUCACUGCUAACUACGUGCGAGCAGCCUCGGUAAUUCGUAGGUGGCAAGCUAUUUCCGGAGUUACUGGGUGUAUCGGGAGCGCAGGCGGAAAGGCAAGUCUGAUGUGAAAGCUUGCGGCUCAACCGGAGGACUGCAGUGGGAACUUGCAGGCUGGAGUGCAGGAGAGGUAGGCGGAAUUCGUGGUGUAGCGGUGAAAUGCUGAGAUAUCACGAAGAACGCCAGUGGCGAAGGCGGCUUACUGGACUGCAACUGACGCUGAGGCUCGAAAGUGUGGGGAGCAAACAGGAUUAGAUACCCCAGUAGUC
Molecule: ribosomal RNA, 441 nt
Filed under: uncultured bacterium
Lineage: Bacteria
Description: partial 16S ribosomal RNA
Rfam family: Bacterial small subunit ribosomal RNA
Source: RNAcentral